CCACUCUGCCAGCAGCCAAAAUCCACCAGCCGCUGAGCCCAGAACCAGAGCCCUGUCCCAGGGCAACACCUGCAUCCCACCGGCUGCCCUGGCACGGCUUUGCCGCAGGCACCGCAGCGAUGGGCACAGCCACUCCUGCCGGACACCCCAACCGCGGGUAUGGCUAAAACAGACCAGGGACUAAAACUGCCGAGUUCUGACGAAGAGAGCCUGGACUCACCCUCCAGCCUAAUGAGCCUAAUUAUUCUCCUGGUCCGAAGAAAGACAGCAGCCAGGUUGGGAAACUGAAGAUGAUGUUUUGGAAAGGACAGCUGAUCAGAAGCACAGGCGGGCAGAGCCGCCGUGCCCGUCCGCACCCUCCGAGGUUGGCCAUCGAUAAGCAGACGUUGUACGUGCGUCAAGUUGAGCAGAAACUCAGAUAAGGAGGACGGCUGAACUGGACUCCAUCCAGCAUGGUGGUGUGUCUUUUAAGACCUAAUUAUCGUCACACCAUACUGCGGAGGUGCCAGCUCCAUGGCUCUGACACACUGCAGGUUGGUGGGUACUUCCAUCCCAGCUCUCCACUGCUGUGUAAACUUUGAGGAGGCUGUGCCUUGCUCAAACUUUGCCUUGGAUAUCAGGAAUCCUGCGCAAGGACUUCAGGAUUAAUUCUUAAACUUCAGAGCACAGAACGUGGUUAAGGUCGACAAAAAGCAAUGAUUGCCUCCAGUCCAGAAAAAAAAAAAAAUAAUCCAGUAAUACCAGAGUCAGUAUUUUAUUCUGCUUAAACCACAGGGAGGUUGGAUGCGGUAGCAGCUCAUUUUCCUGUAGGGCCUCAUCAGAUUGGUACAAGGCUUAAUGACAACAGCUAAAGAAAGAGAAAGACACCAUGGAUUUCGCUUGGCCACUUUUAACUUCUACCUUCAAAGUCUGGCGUAUUUAAUUCAGAUCAUAUAAAAAUUCCAGUGGUGAAGGGUGGAGAAAACUGCACAUUGAAUGAAGACUUUUGUUUUCCUGAGCAGAGCUGAAAUGAAGAAGAAGCUGGGUUGUGACGAUCAGAUUUCUCCUCUAGGUCACAAGUUCAUCCAUCAUCGGAUUUCAUGUCAUGGGGCUGGGCUGGUCCUAAUUGCAGCCAGCCAGGACCCCGCACAUCAGUGAGCUUUGGCUCUGGGCUCCUUCCAUAAGAUAUAUAUUGCAGUCAAAGUUGUACCUAAAUAAUUUUAAAUGUGUUUUUAAGAGUGAAUCAUUACCUUCCAAUUCUACAACACAGCAGAAAAUGAAAUUAGAUGCUGGCUUAGGUUCAUAUAAAAUAUAAAACCCAAUACUUGACCGGUUUGUUGCUGCAGUAGGUUUAUUUUGCACAAAUUUAAUACAGGCAUUAAGCUAUGAUCUGGUAGCUAUGAUCUGGGAUUCAAACGUAUCUGGCACCUCACAGGGAUAGAGGAACCAAAAUCCUGAGAUACGUGGUCCGAGGGCCCAGGCCCUGAAUCCAGACGUCAGCGGUGGAGGAUGGAUGAAGUACGGUCAAGCUGAGCCCAGCUCGUGCAGCAGGUGAGCAGGGAUCUGUGCAAGCAGCGCUCUGCAGCACCGGUCCUGAGUGAUCCCGCUACAUAACUAAAUGAAUUAUUUAUACAUCUUGGGGAGAGAAGCUAUAGCCACAUCUCAAGCUGAAAUAAUAAUAAAAAAACC
Molecule: long non-coding RNA, 1668 nt
Organism: Falco peregrinus (peregrine falcon)
Lineage: Eukaryota; Metazoa; Chordata; Aves; Falconiformes; Falconidae
Exons: 3
Source: RefSeq, a predicted model, not a curated record